GGACUACCGGGGUAUCUAAUCCUGUUCGCUCCCCACGCUUUCGCUCCUUAGCGUCAGUUCCGGCCCAGAGACCCGCCUUCGCCACCGGUGUUCCUCCUGAUAUCUGCGCAUUUCACCGCUACACCAGGAAUUCCAGUCUCCCCUACCGGACUCUAGCCUGCCCGUAUCGACUGCAGGCCCGGGGUUGAGCCCCGGGUUUUCACAGCCGACGCGACAGGCCGCCUACGAGCUCUUUACGCCCAAUAAUUCCGGACAACGCUUGCACCCUACGUAUUACCGCGGCUGCUGGCAC
This 292-nucleotide ribosomal RNA is filed under the name uncultured bacterium. Its description in RNAcentral is "partial 16S ribosomal RNA". The record is from RNAcentral.